CACGUAGGGACCAAGCGUUGUCCGGAUUUAUUGGGCGUAAAGAGCUCGUAGGCGGUUCGGUAAGUCGGGUGUGAAAACUCUGGGCUCAACUCGGAGAGGCCACCCGAUACUGCCGUGACUCGAGUCCGGUAGGGGAGCACGGAAUUCCUGGUGUAGCGGUGAAAUGCGCAGAUAUCAGGAGGAACACCGGUGGCGAAGGCGGUGCUCUGGGCCGGUACUGACGCUGAGGAGCGAAAGCGUGGGUAGCAAACAGGAUUAGAUACCCUGGUAGUCCACGCCGUAAACGUUGGGCACUAGGUGUGGGACCCCGCCAACGGGUUCUGUGCCGCAGCUAACGCAUUAAGUGCCCCGCCUGGGGAGUACGGCCGCAAGGUUAAA
This 378-nucleotide ribosomal RNA is filed under the name uncultured bacterium. Its description in RNAcentral is "bacterial SSU rRNA". It matches the Rfam family "Bacterial small subunit ribosomal RNA", at positions 524 to 898 of the family's 1533-position model. The record is from RNAcentral.